This 279-nucleotide ribosomal RNA is filed under the name uncultured bacterium. RNAcentral describes it as "partial 16S ribosomal RNA". It matches the Rfam family "Bacterial small subunit ribosomal RNA", at positions 506 to 784 of the family's 1533-position model. The record is from RNAcentral.
UGCCAGCAGCCGCGGUAAUACGGAGGGGGCAAGCGUUGUUCGGAAUUACUGGGCGUAAAGGGUGCGCAGGCGGCGUCGCCAGUCAGGUGUGAAAUCCCCGGGCUCAACCCGGGAACUGCACUUGAUACUGCGAUGCUAGAGUUCGGAAGAGGGUAGUGGAAUUCCCAGUGUAGAGGUGAAAUGCGUAGAUAUCAGGAGGAACACCGAUGGCGAAGGCAUCUCUCUGGGUCGAUAUUGACGCUGAGGCGCGAAGGCGUGGGUAGCGAACGGGAUUAGAUA